This 447-nucleotide ribosomal RNA is filed under the name uncultured bacterium. Its description in RNAcentral is "bacterial SSU rRNA". It matches the Rfam family "Bacterial small subunit ribosomal RNA", at positions 355 to 825 of the family's 1533-position model. The record is from RNAcentral.
UCGGGAAUUUUGGGCAAUGGGGGAAACCCUGACCCAGCAACGCCGCGUGAAGGAUGAAGUAUUUCGGUAUGUAAACUUCGAAAGAAUAGGAAGAAUAAAUGACGGUACUAUUUAUAAGGUCCGGCUAACUACGUGCCAGCAGCCGCGGUAAUACGUAGGGACCAAGCGUUGUUCGGAUUUACUGGGCGUAAAGGGCGCGUAGGCGGCAUGACAAGUCACUUGUGAAAUCUCUGGGCUUAACCCAGAACGGCCAAGUGAUACUGUCGCGCUAGAGUGCAGAAGGGGCAAUCGGAAUUCUCGGUGUAGCGGUGAAAUGCGUAGAUAUCAAGAGGAACACCUGAGGUGAAGACGGGUUGCUGGGCUGACACUGACGCUGAGGCGCGAAAGCCAGGGGAGCAAACGGGAUUAGAUACCCCUGUAGUCCCUGAGCGGGCUGGCAAGGCGCAU